Molecule: long non-coding RNA, 2924 nt
Organism: Aethalodelphis obliquidens (Pacific white-sided dolphin)
Lineage: Eukaryota; Metazoa; Chordata; Mammalia; Artiodactyla; Delphinidae
Exons: 2
Source: RefSeq, a predicted model, not a curated record
CCCAGGGACGCGGCCCCGCCCCUCGCUUUCCUCGGGCCGGCCGAGCCGGGCCGGGUCGGCCCCCACCCCACCGCCCUUCCAAGCUAGGCUGCGGCGCCGGGAGCGGCAGAUCCCUCCGCCAGCCGGGAGGGAGGGAGACAGCGACGGACCGAGGCAAAGGUGUGGUGAAUCUUCUCGUGCCCUGCAACAGGAGUGUGGGUGCCAUGCCUACUGGACAACUGACCCAUCAGACUUCCUCUCCCAGCAUCCCUGUUACUCCAAUGUCUGCUUCCUACCUUGAGCUUGAGGAAAUGAUGGAAUCUGGCUUAGAUCUCAAAGAACCUUGGAGAACAGAAGGGCACUCAGUUCUUCACACACCCUGAUUUCUAUCUGGCUGGGUCUGAUUUACUGGACAAAGACUCAAUUCUAGGUUAAGGGCUGAAGAGACGAAUAUAUCCCGAAAGAGGCAGCAUGUUAUGGUGAUAAGAGGCAUCAACUUUGGAGUAGUCAAGCUACCUUGGUUCAAAUCCUUAUUCCACCAUUUAUUAACUGGGAACAGAGGCACGUUACUUAACUUCCCUGUACCUCAUGAUCCUCAUGGGUAAAAUAGAGAUUUUGGUAAUAGUACCUAACUCAUAAAUUGGUGUGAAGAUUAAAUUAGUUCAUACAAGUAGAUUGCUUUGAACAGUACCUCAUGCUGCAUUAUAAUAAUUCAAGGGCUGGACUGUCAAGACCCCCUUUAGGCCCAUUAUCUCAUACAAGCAUUAGCGGAGGCAAGUUCAGUGGAAUUGCUUUGCAAAUAGGUUGGAGGCUUAUCUUGUAUGCUUUAAGACAGGAAGCCAGCAAGCUCCUAUUUCCUUGGCCUCAGUUUCCAACUCUUCCACUUGGCCCCUCCUUCACGAAACCUGAUUUAGAGUGUUCCACUUUGUCCCCAAACAUAGCUUCUUAGUUCCUCAUUAGAUUUGAGAGAUGGGGCCCCAGCACCAGAAGAUGUCAGUCUUCCCUACCAGGCAGGGCUAGCUUGCCUGAAGGACCUCAGUGUAGGCAGGGGGAGCCCAUCUGCCCUGUCCCCAAGGACUCUGAGAAGAACAGAGUCUUGUGCCAGGCCUGGGGCUGUGGCAAUAGCAGGAUGGGAAAGUGCCCCCCCUCCCUCAAGUGGGGAACCUCCCCUCACUUGUGGCCUCUAUUUUUAGUGCUUCCCCAGGCUCGAGCUGGAGAAACCGUUUAGUCAUCAGGGUGUUUAUUUUCCGGCUGUUUCCGACGUCGGGAAAGCAGAAUGUUGAGACUGGAGAGAUCCAGGGCUGCUGGAAAAGACUUCUUAGGAACAGGCCUGGGAACUCAGCCUUCAGACCACUGGGUCCCAGAUCACAGGAAAAAAAAGUGGGCAGGGGGGCAGCCAAGCCCCCAGGACACUGAGAAAGCUGGGUUCUCAGCCUGCCUCCAGUUUUGAGGCUCUCAAGCUAGAGACCCUCUGGCCCCAGCUCUAUUGGAAGGAUUCUCUUCAAAACCAUUAGCAGCCCCAGAACAAAUUAUUUCCCAGGGCUGAUUCCCAGAAACCCCCUCCCCAACAUCCUACAGAUCUGAGUGGUGAGCCUCCCGCCAACCACAGCUCCAGCCAAUCUCAAGCCCGAGGUAGGUUUGCCAGGGCUGUGAUUGGCCACCUGGUCCUCCCUGCCUUGGAAUGUUGGGUCCUAAAUAAAGGAAUGAGGAAGGAAGGUAGGUGAGUCACCUAGGAGGGUGUUAAAGGGCCAGGAAGAGCAGGGGGGGAGAAAGGAGGGCAGGGAAAAGCUCAGUGGGGGAGAUGGAGUGUCCUGGACCCUGAGAUGCUGAAAUGAUAAUCCACUAGAAAACAGAGUAGGAAAGAGCAGGAGAGGCUGACAUUACAAGUAGAAUAGAAUUUACAUAUACAUGUAUUUAUAGAGAGAACUUCAUAGGAAAGGAAAAGUAACAAACAUGAGGUCUUGAUUUCCAUGGAGAACUAAGAAAGGAUCUAGGGAGUGUUGCUGGAAGUUAGAUUAUAAUAAAGACUUCCUGAAAAUGACUCACUACAUCUUUUUCUUCUAGCCCCUGGACUACCCAUCCCAGGAUGUGCUAGGUGGAAAAUGCCUAGGCAGGCUCAGAUGGCUGGGUCUCAUUUUUCCUUCUCUCCCUCUGACUACCAACUCAAUCUUUCUUAGAGAAAAGUCAACUAACGUUGCUAUAAAAUCCCCUGUGAGUCGGACAGAUGCCCACCAAAGUCCUAAAAAGUGUGUGUAAACUCCUCAGUACAGUAUAAUCUUCAUCAAUUUAUAUGGCAAAGGGACAUCAAUAGCUUCCUUUAGUCACACCUCCCCAAGCAUCCCUAUCCAACUUAAUUUGGAAAGGUCUUCCUCAUCCACAAGGGCUGCUUCUCUCCUGACUGUUGUUUCAUAACUAUGGGAAGCCAUUACCACUGUUUCAGCCUCUAACUGGCUGCUUGGUUAACCCUCUUGCCUUCUCCACAGUCAUUUGGACAAUCUCCAUCCUCACCUCCAUCCAUGUCAUACUUUCCAUUGGGCUGAUCAUUCUUCCUCCCAGUUUUCCAGUAAUCCCAGCAAAGGCUCCCAAUCUUUCCCAUCUUCCACCUCACUUGUGAGGGGAAGGGCCAUCAGCAUGGGUAAUAUACUGGUGAUCCUUCGACUUGUGUGUCUUCCUGUACCUCUGAUUCUGUAUAGUGUUCUCCACUCUGUGUAUCUACCUCAUCAGUACCCACUGCAUUGUACUGACAUUUUUGGUUUCUAAUUUACUCUCCUUCACUAGAUUUUGAACUCCUUGAGGGCAGCAGUUUAACUCAACUUUGAGUCUUCAGGGCUUUUCAGGGCCUGGCAUGGAAUGUGCUCAGCAAAAGUCUGUUUCAUGAAUCUGUAUAUGUGUUUGUAGCUGUGUAUCUGAGUUAAGACUAUAAAAACGUUAUUGAACACUUCUAA